UGUUAGUUGUCCAGUGGCUUUACCUG
This 26-nucleotide non-coding RNA is filed under the name Mus musculus (house mouse). Lineage: Eukaryota; Metazoa; Chordata; Mammalia; Rodentia; Muridae. The record is from RNAcentral.